AACGCACAUUGCGCCCCUUGGUAUUCCGAGGGGCAUGCCCGUUCGAGCGUCAUGACAACCCUCAAGCCUCGCUUGGUGUUGGGGCCUGCUGUCACCGGCAGCCCUUAAAAUCAGUGGCGGUGCCGCCUGGCUCUGAGCGUAGUAAUCCUUCUCGCUACAGCGUCCGGUAGGUGCUCGCCAUCGACCCCCCCGCCACCUUCUAUGGUUGACCUCGGAUCGGGUAGGGAUACCCGCUGAACUUAA
RNAcentral lists this unclassified non-coding RNA (243 nucleotides) under uncultured fungus. Its description in RNAcentral is "partial contains 5.8S ribosomal RNA, internal transcribed spacer 2, and large subunit ribosomal RNA". The record is from RNAcentral. Lineage: Eukaryota; Fungi.